GAUGAACGCUAGCGGCAGGCCUAAUACAUGCAAGUCAAGGGGCCCGCAAGGGCACCGGCGGACGGGUGCGCAACGCGUACACAACGUGCCCCAGAGCGGGGGACAGCGGCGGGAAACUGCCGGUAAGCCCCCAUGGCGUCGAGUUUCGGCAUCGCGGCUCGACUAAAGGCGACACUCUGGGAUCGGUGUGCGUCCGAUUAGCUAGUUGGCGGGGUAACGGCCCACCAAGGCGUCGAUCGGUAGGGGUGUGAGAGCACGGCCCCCCACACGGGUACUGAGACACGGACCCGACUCCUACGGGAGGCAGCAGUAAGGAAUAUUGGACAAUGGGCGGAAGCCUGAUCCAGCCAUGCCGCGUGGAGGACGAAGGCGCUCAGCGUUGUAAACUCCUUUUGGACGGGGGACAAACCGCUCGGCUCGCCGGGCGUUGAGGGUACCGUCAGAAUAAGCACCGGCUAACUCCGUGCCAGCAGCCGCGGUAAU
This 483-nucleotide ribosomal RNA is filed under the name uncultured bacterium. RNAcentral describes it as "bacterial SSU rRNA". It matches the Rfam family "Bacterial small subunit ribosomal RNA", at positions 28 to 524 of the family's 1533-position model. The record is from RNAcentral.